Molecule: ribosomal RNA, 468 nt
Filed under: uncultured bacterium
Lineage: Bacteria
Description: partial 16S ribosomal RNA
Rfam family: Bacterial small subunit ribosomal RNA
Source: RNAcentral
GACGAACGCUGGCGGCGUGCUUAACACAUGCAAGUCGAACGGAAAGGCCCUGCUUUUGUGGGGUGCUCGAGUGGCGAACGGGUGAGUAACACGUGAGUAACCUGCCCUUGACUUUGGGAUAACUUCAGGAAACUGGGGCUAAUACCGGAUAGGAGCUCCUGCUGCAUGGUGGGGGUUGGAAAGUUUCGGCGGUUGGGGAUGGACUCGCGGCUUAUCAGCUUGUUGGUGGGGUAGUGGCUUACCAAGGCUUUGACGGGUAGCCGGCAUGAGAGGGUGACCGGCCACAUUGGGACUGAGAUACGGCCCAGACUCCUACGGGAGGCAGCAGUGGGGAAUAUUGCACAAUGGGGGGAAGCCUGAUGCAGCAACGCCGCGUGCGGGAUGACGGCCUUCGGGUUGUAAACCGCUUUCGCCUGUGACGAAGCGUGAGUGACGGUAAUGGGUAAAGAAGCACCGGCUAACUACGUG